AAUAGAAAUGAUGAGCUCUUUUAUACCGCCCCAGUCUGAGAGUUCAUGACUGAUUGGUAUCCUCUCUGAUUGCA
Molecule: small nucleolar RNA, 74 nt
Organism: Amphilophus citrinellus (Midas cichlid)
Lineage: Eukaryota; Metazoa; Chordata; Actinopteri; Cichliformes; Cichlidae
Source: Ensembl